UACAGGGGGUGCAAACGUUGCUCGGAAUUACUGGGCGUAAAGGGCUCGUAGGCGGCCAACUAAGUCAUACGUGAAAUCCCUCGGCUUAACCGGGGAACUGCGUCUGAUACUGGAUGGCUUGAGUUCGGGAGAGGGAUGCGGAAUUCCUGGUGUAGCGGUGAAAUGCGCAGAUAUCAGGAAGAACACCCGUGGCGAAGGCGGCUCUCUGGAACGCAACUGACGCUGAGACGCGAAAGCGUGGGGAGCAAACAGG
Molecule: ribosomal RNA, 253 nt
Filed under: uncultured bacterium
Lineage: Bacteria
Description: partial 16S ribosomal RNA
Rfam family: Bacterial small subunit ribosomal RNA
Source: RNAcentral